AAUGAACGCUGGCGGCAUGCCUAACACAUGCAAGUCGAACGAAGGCUUCGGCCUUAGUGGCGCACGGGUGCGUAACGCGUGGGAAUCUGCCCUUGGGUUCGGAAUAACAGUUAGAAAUGACUGCUAAUACCGGAUGAUGUCGUAAGACCAAAGAUUUAUCGCCCAAGGAUGAGCCCGCGUAGGAUUAGCUAGUUGGUGAGGUAAAAGCUCACCAAGGCGACGAUCCUUAGCUGGUCUGAGAGGAUGAUCAGCCACACUGGGACUGAGACACGGCCCAG
This 278-nucleotide ribosomal RNA is filed under the name uncultured bacterium. RNAcentral describes it as "partial 16S ribosomal RNA". It matches the Rfam family "Bacterial small subunit ribosomal RNA", at positions 29 to 334 of the family's 1533-position model. The record is from RNAcentral.